AUCUAGCCCCGAUGGAAGCGAUAUCCUUUUAUGGCGGGGUUCGCCAUGAAAGAUUUAGCGGACAGCGGGACGGGUC
This 76-nucleotide small RNA is filed under the name Flavobacterium saccharophilum. Its description in RNAcentral is "Flavo-1 RNA". It matches the Rfam family "Flavo-1 RNA". Lineage: Bacteria; Pseudomonadati; Bacteroidota; Flavobacteriia; Flavobacteriales; Flavobacteriaceae. The record is from RNAcentral.